UCGAGGAUCUUCGGCAAUGAGCGCAAGCUUGACCGAGCGACGCCGCGUGUGCGACGAAGGCCUUCGGGUUGUAAAGCACUGUCGAGGGGGAGGAAAGCCCGAAAGGGUCUGACCUAUCCCUGGAGGAAGCACGGGCUAAGUUCGUGCCAGCAGCCGCGGUAAGACGAACCGUGCGAACGUUGUUCGGAAUCACUGGGCUUAAAGGGCGCGUAGGCGGACAUUCAAGUCAGGGGUGAAAUCCCCCAGCUCAACUGGGGAACUGCCUUUGAUACUGGGUGUCUCGAGUAAGGUAGGGGCAUGCGGAACUGAUGGUGGAGCGGUGAAAUGUGUUGAUAUCAUCAGGAACUCCGGUGGCGAAGGCGGCAUGCUGGACCUUCACUGACGCUGAGGCGCGAAAGCCAGGGGAGCGAACGG
Molecule: ribosomal RNA, 414 nt
Filed under: uncultured bacterium
Lineage: Bacteria
Description: bacterial SSU rRNA
Rfam family: Bacterial small subunit ribosomal RNA
Source: RNAcentral